CCAGGACCAAGGUCAGCAGCAGGCGCGAAAAUUAUCGAAGCCCGCCUAGGGGCGAUAGUGAGGAGACGUGUAUAACGAAGUACGUGUAAAGAACGUGCUAAUAACUGGAGGUCAAGUCUGGUGCCAGCAUCCGCGGUAAUUCCAGCUCCAGGGGUGUCUAUGAUGAUUGCUGCGAUUAAAAAGUCCGUAGUCAAUCUGACUGACUGACCUGCAAUGUGAUUGAUUAAAGAACGAGCAGGGUUAGGAAAGCAGAGAAUUAGGAGCGACCGAGGGCUAGAGUAUUGAAUGGCGAGAGGUGAAAUUUGAUGACCCAUUCAGGAGUGACAAAGGCGAAGGCACUAGUCAAGGGCGAAUCCGAUGAUCAAGGACGUAGGCUAGAGUUUCGAAAACGAUUAGAGACCGGAGUAGUUCUAGCAGUAAACUAUGCCGACGCCGUGGUAUUAUUUUAGUAUUGCGGAAGAGAAAUCAAGUAAGGCUUUGGGGAGAGUACGCGCGCAAGCGAUAAAUU
This 508-nucleotide ribosomal RNA is filed under the name Dictyocoela sp. 11 JEI-2011. RNAcentral's name for it is "partial small subunit ribosomal RNA". It matches the Rfam family "Microsporidia small subunit ribosomal RNA", at positions 269 to 778 of the family's 1311-position model. Lineage: Eukaryota; Fungi; Microsporidia. The record is from RNAcentral.